UGGCGUGUAACUCAGUUGGUAGAGUAUCUGCCUUCUACUUUUGGUGGCGGCAAGCAGGAGGUCGUGGGAUCGAACCCCACCACGCUCG
Capsaspora owczarzaki ATCC 30864 is the source of this 88-nucleotide transfer RNA. It matches the Rfam family "tRNA". From Rfam's summary of the family: Transfer RNA (tRNA) molecules are approximately 80 nucleotides in length. The record is from Rfam. Lineage: Eukaryota; Filasterea; Ministeriida; Capsasporidae.